CUGGGAGGAAGCGGUGUCACUGCACGUCCCCCUCUUCCCAGGCCUCCUCUUUAAUGCUCUGUAUAUUCACAACAGGCAUGUUAAGCGGAGGCUGCCCAGGAACCUGGGAACUCACUAAGCCUCCCAAGUGCCUGGUGAUCCUGGGCAGGGAGCCCUGGGGUUCUCAUCUGCGCAGGGUUGAACUCCUUCACCCUGCUCACUGCGAAGCCAUUUAUAGAUUCAAAUAGCUAGGAGGGAACCACCCCUCCUAGCUACAUCCAAAGCAAUCAGACGUCCAGGAUUCCAGCUGCUCGGUCCUGCUCAGCCUCUCUGCAUUGAGGCAGGCACUGAGGACCUCGGGAGCAUAGAGGAGCAACAACCAGCCCAGCCUGGAGGCACCAGCAGGGAAGAGCCUUUCCAGACAAGAGGGCUCCCGAGCUGCGUGAAGUGGAGGAGAAACACUUGACCCUGUGAUGCAACGCUAUGAAAAAUGUCAGUAAUGUCAUUUUACUGACAUGUAGAUAGGUUAAGAACUUGGCUGAAAUCGCACAGCUGAUACCUGAACUCAGGCCUUUUGGACCAUGUUCCUAAUCAAAACACCAAAUCUGAAUCCUUGAAACUGCGAGUAAAAGAAGUUGCAGAGGUUCCAGUGGAGAACUUCAAGGCUCUGAGACCUUAGGGCACAGCCAGGACACCUGAGGAAAGAGUUUGGAAAAGAGACAGUGGUCAGAAAAGAACUGACAGGAUUUUCCAGUGUCUAGAAAUGCACUGCUUGAAGAGCAGCAGAAUAUAUUACACUGGAGAAGAGAAGACUGUAAGGGGCUAGAUGCUUCAUCUGCAAGAAGAGUAGACUUGCCCUGAAGGAAUAAUCAGGCCAGUGAGAAAGAGCAUAUGCACAUAGAUUUGAGCUCAGUAAAGAAUAAACCUGAGCAGUCCCACAAGGGAACAGUACUCCCCAGAGGAUAAGCUGCCAAAUAUGGGCAGUGUUCAAGCAGAGGUGCAAGGAACACCUGCCAGGUAAACAAUGGACACCUGCCCUGAGGAGGCCGUGAGAUAGAUCAUCUCCAAAGACACCAUCAACCUCUAUGAAAAGGAAGGAUGGGCUUAUUAUGACCACUAUUCAGAGAGAAGAAACUCUUAAUGUUUUCCUGUGAUAUUAGUAUUGUUUUCUAGUGCAAAUUCCUAUCAUCAUGCUGCUCUUCAACUGGAACCAAAACAAAAAUUUAACAUUAUAUUAUACUACUAAUAAAAUUAAUGAUUAAGGAAAUCUGCCAUCCUAAACAGAACCUUUUAUGACUUAAAAUUUGCCUUCCUGAAUUGGAGCUAUGCUGUAUUGACAACUUCCAUUGGAACCCUGGCACAUACAGUAGGAAGGCAUAAUAACUAAGAUCCCUAUCAAUACCAGCUUUUAGGGGAGAACUCCAUACUUUAUAGUGUCCUUUGAUAAUCCAUGAUGGACUGUUAUUUCUACAUUUGCCUGUUUUCACAUUUAUUUUUUAUGUUUUGAUUCUACAGAUGGAAAGUUCCACAAAAUUAUCAUCCACUGUGUAAAACAGUACUUCAUUUUAUCUCAACUAAAAUUACUUUCUUAAGUAUGAAAUACAUAACAAUCAUAAUUUUGUAGACAUUUCUAAAUAAGACUUUUUUCUCUAUUUGCAGGCUAAAGAUUGCUAUACCCCUUAUAAUAGUCUCAUCAUGCCAUUUUGGUGGUUCCUUCUGAAACUUUCUUGAAUUCCACUAGAUUUUGGAGAUGUAGCAAGCAAAACUAUGAUAUAUCCUAUACAUUUUUUUGUAUGUUAUAUAUAAACUGUAAGAACCUUCUUGACAGCUCCCAAGAUUUACUCAAUCUUUUUAAUUGCAUAGAGCUACAGACAUUAGGAAACCUACAAUGAUUCUAGAUUCCUUUGCAGGCUCCUACAAUCACACCCUAUCAAAGCUAGAAUGACUUUAGGAGAUUGUGGCCAACAUUCUACUUUUCCACAGAGAAGGAAUGUUUGCCCAAGUGGCAGGGCCUGAAAAUAGAAGCCAGAGAGUUUGACCCAGAGCUGAGGACUAUUUCAAUCAUAUCCCUCUGUAUGCUUCACUAAAGAUGGGGCAGAAGCUACUUUUGACUGCUUUUUUUCUAAUGCAUGACCUUUUAUUUGAGUAUGCUAAAAAUUAAUCUGCCAGUUUUUGCUUACUCACAUGGCAUAAUGGGUGCUUUCAAUAAUUUCUCACUACCACCUUGACAUGAGCAAGUUACUUAAUCUCUCUAACCUUUGUUUCUCUCUCUGUAAAGUGGGAAUGAUAAUACGAACCUACCCUUAAAAAGUGUGUUGUAAGAAAUAAAUGAGAUGACUUGUUUAUCAUGAUCAUAUUCCGGGCACAUAGUGUAAACUCUUUAAAUUGUUUCCAUUACUGAUUAUGCAUAAUUAUUGUAAGAUGACCUCAAACAUUCAAAAAAAAAACAAUUCUCUCUAGGAAAGAUUCACUUGGGAAGCUGAAAAGCAUAAGCAUGUUUUAUACAGACUGCUUAUGCGGGCACUGGUUUAGGGUACUAUGCACUGCCAGUUUGAAUUAGAGGGAGUAUCAAUCAAAAGCACAUUAUUUAGAAAGGUGAAAAUAUUCUAAAAAUGUUGUUUGGUGAACCUAAGUUAAAACAGCAUGAACUUAUUCCACUUAAAAACAUCCAUACACCGUGAAAUAGGUAAGUUACGUUUUUAUUUCAAUAAUAGCUUACAAAAAGGGAAAAAGCUAUAGCUCAAGCAAUCAUAUACAAAACCUCUCUAAAAAACUCUGGAGUUACAAGGUAACCAGGUAGCAUUGGUGAAAAUGAAUUCAGGUGUUUGAACUGAAGCUUCCCAAAAUGCACCAGGGGCUAGUUUUGACCUGGUGAUAGCGAAUUUUAAGAAUGUAAAUUGCAUUUACAGAGUUGGCAAGACUGGCCAUAGACUGGCUCUCUCCCUAAAAGGGCCUUGAACACAGGGAGAAUAUCCAGAACGGGACCUUAGAGAAAGCAUCAAAAGUCUGCCAUAUUUCACAUAGAAAUGAGAAGCUUAAGCUGGGGACUAAAAGUAUUUCCUGAUAUCACAUUUGAGCAUAAUCUCUGUAACGAUUGACAAGCAUGGGGAAUGGAGAAGAAAAGGCAAAUAUCAGGGUUUUUUUUAUGCCAUUACAGACAAAUUUUAGUGCAGCGUUGUUUAAAGAUGAAAGAAAAAACUAAAUGGUCUGUCAAAGAAGCAUUAUUUCAUCUGUUUUAACUCUAUAACAAUUUAUGAAUUUUAAUCUCCAUAAAUUCCUUCAGUAAACCACAAUACAGUAGGACAUAUUUUAACCUUGUCUUUCUCCCUCUUAUUACAACACAGUAAUUAAGAUCUGGGUUUCAGAGGCAAGCAGGCCGGGAUUUGAAGUCCACCUCUGCCACUUACUAGGAACCUCAGCAAGCUGCUUGAGCUCUCUGCGCUCCCUCUUUUGUGUAUCUAAAAAUGGAUGUUAACAUCUGUCCACAGAGUUGAUGUAACAGCAAUUGUAAGGAAGGUCCUAAUGCAUUGCCUAGUAUCCAGUGUAUGCUCAAUCCAUCUAGCAUCCUAAUUCAUUUUAGAAUUUAAUUACAUAUUUUAUUGUUUUCAUAAUGUCCAAUUGCUAUGGUGUAUGUUCUUGGUAAAAGUGGCUCUGAUAGUAGUUCUGAAGCAGUUGAGGGGCAACAGACACACUCCCCUGGUGGUAGGGGGCUGGGAAAUGGAGAUAGGGUGCAUAGUUUGAAAAUUAAAAAGCCUCCUAUUUCAGAUUCUCACAGAUUUCUACUGGGGAGAGGGGAGGAGGAGACCCUCCAACCUCAGCCUUCAGCUGAGAAACACCAGCCUUUCUAAUGACAGAGACCUUUUUAUUUCCUUCCCAUGUAUUCCUCACAAGGCCUGGCAUACAGCAGGGUCAAUAAAUCAAUCUGAGUUUAUUUGUUUCUGUUUAGUAAUAAAAUAUGAUUCAGAAUCCAGCAAGUUCAGUUCCUUAAAGAAAACAAUAUUAUGUUUUGUGAUCAAUGCAUAAUUAAAACAAAUUUCCCAUUAAUUCCCCUGACCUUUACAAUUUUAGUCACAUAAACCCAUUAAAGAAGUUUAUUCUCGACUACUGUGUAAUGUAACUUAUUUUCUCUCAGUGAUGAGUAUAAACAAUAAGUACAUUAAAAAAUGAUGAACCUUUAUUAUAGUCUUCAAAGGUCAGAAUCAUACAGAGCUAUGGACAAGAAAUUAGGACAGAAAUAUGCUUUAAAAUGCUUCAGAAGUAAUGGUGAGACUUCUGGUCAACAUGAUUCAGCAAAUUCACACCAUUAUAAAACUCCUCCUAUUCCAAACGUGAUAAUUAAAGAUGAAACAUAAAAAGUAAACAUAAAAAUGUUUAUAGUUUGUU
RNAcentral lists this long non-coding RNA (4362 nucleotides) under Homo sapiens (human). Its description in RNAcentral is "HSALNT0140753". The record is from RNAcentral. Lineage: Eukaryota; Metazoa; Chordata; Mammalia; Primates; Hominidae.